RNAcentral lists this long non-coding RNA (658 nucleotides) under Phoenix dactylifera (date palm). RNAcentral describes it as "long non-coding RNA (PDAC_LNC015927)". Lineage: Eukaryota; Viridiplantae; Streptophyta; Magnoliopsida; Arecales; Arecaceae. The record is from RNAcentral.
GUCCGUGUAUGAAUGGCUGUGAUGAAUAUCGAUGGGCACGUGGCAGCAAUCCGAUAAAUUUACAGCUGGGUUCCAUUAAUUCCCCGAGAUGUGCGAUCAAGCGCGUAAAAAAGGUCGGGGGUGAUGAUAGCGGAAACUCAGCACGAAAGGAGGUCAAGUUCCAGUCUUCGGCUGGCUGUCGCUCGCGGCUCCCAACCCAAAGUCCUUUUCCGGGGGAAGAUUUCCGGAAAAGCGAUACCGCGUAAGUCCACAUACUCCCUCCCAAAAACCCUCAGCAACGCUUCCCCCUCUCCCCUCUCGUUCGCAAGACCUGAUCCGAAAGCCCCUUCUUUCCCUUGAUUUGUCGCUCUUCCAGUCGAAAUUUUCUUCUAUCGAUGGUUGAGGACGGGAUCUUUUUCUCGAUUCGCAGGCCUAGAGGUAGUUAUCUGUUCAAAUCCCUAUCUUGUUCCCAUUAAUUUCAGUAGAAAAUUGUUUUUCGUGGUUCUCAAUUUUUUUUCCCGUUGAAGGCCUUUACUUUGUGCAAUAUUUUAAGUUUUAAUAAUCAAAAACCCUAAAAGCAAUCUCCUUUGUUGAAAUGUUGGAAUUUUUAUGCUUAAAUUUGUGUUAGAUUUCUGGGUCCAACUACGAGUUUAUCGAAUAUGGUGUCUCAAGAUAGAAG